This 1256-nucleotide long non-coding RNA is filed under the name Equus caballus (horse). RNAcentral's name for it is "lncRNA (ENSECAG00000047073.1)". The record is from RNAcentral. Lineage: Eukaryota; Metazoa; Chordata; Mammalia; Perissodactyla; Equidae.
GGACCGAGGCCCAGAGGCUCAUGUCCUUAUGUCCUGGCCUUUCCCCACCCCCUGCACUGUGCUCUGGAUCCUGCUGACUGCGCCGGAUUAUCUGGAAAUAAAGGCCACAGACCCUGAAACGAAAGGGAAAAGGCAGCCACCUUGCGCGGCUAGCAUGCAGGAAGGAGAGAAGAAAGCGUAGGUCGUCCUACACGCGGGCAGAAGCCAGGCAGCCGCGGCCUCCUCCUGCGGUGGGGCACCCCCUGCCGUGAGAACAAGUUUUUCCUUCAUUUUCCCAGGGAGGCCCCUGUUUACGUCCCCGCCUCCCCCCAGCAGCUGUCUGGAGGGUCCCCCGUGGAGUCCCGUGGAGAGAUGGCGGGAACAGCAGCCCAAGCUCUCGCAUGCUGAUGCCGGAGAAAAGUGAGCCUGAGUGUCGGUCAUUCCGGGUCAGUUUCCCCAGGUGUGGGCUGCGUGCGUCCUUUGCACACGUGAGCCUCAGAUCUCUUCUGGCCAGUUCCAGCUGUAAAGCAGAGAUUUCAACAGCUUCCCGUCUGGUCUCUCAUUUGUUCUUUAAAACCCCAAGGAGGCUGGCGGAUGCUAAGCCUGGAGGGCAGCAUCAGCACCAUUCUACUUUGGAAAUAAGGCCGAACGACGGGGUGCAGACCAGAAUGCAAAGAGCAAUCAGUGCAGUGAUACUUCUACGACCCACGAGGGAAGAGGGAUCCCACACAGAGGCCAUCACUCCUGCUGACAACAACUGGAGGGACCGGGUGCAUUACGAAAAUCUGACUGCUGAGGAUCAGAGAGCCCCAGGCGGCCGUGGGGCCAUGAGGACUUAAUGGCUGAAAUUCCAGAAAGAGGAGAACCAUCCAGGUGGCUGGUGAUUCACAGCCGUCUGUUCCCUGGGGCUAUUUCUCAGUUCUGGGUGCUGGGCUGGGAUUGGGCUUGGCCCCGGCAGGGAGCAGCUGAGGGGCAGAGCCCUUUCCACAGUCACGGGGACAAAAGCGGCAAAACAGGAGACUUCAGGUGUACCCUGGGUCCCAGAACGCUUGUAAAAUCUCGGUGCUGUGUGUGGCAGGAGACUAUGGCCGGCCAGCCUCUCAGUCAGAUCUCCGAAGAGACCAGGCCCCACACCGAGGCAAGCCAGAGCAAGAUCGCAAGACAGUCUCCCCAACUCCGCCCUGUCCUGCCCCGGGUCAGUCCAGGCCGGCUGGCCGGCUGAGGCACCUGCCCCUCCUCCUUCCCUAAUUGCCUGAGGGUUUGCUCCCAGGAACGGC